This 2923-nucleotide ribosomal RNA is filed under the name Klebsiella pneumoniae. RNAcentral describes it as "bacterial LSU rRNA". It matches the Rfam family "Bacterial large subunit ribosomal RNA". Lineage: Bacteria; Pseudomonadati; Pseudomonadota; Gammaproteobacteria; Enterobacterales; Enterobacteriaceae. The record is from RNAcentral.
GGGUUGUGAGGUUAAGCGACUAAGCGUACACGGUGGAUGCCCUGGCAGUCAGAGGCGAUGAAGGACGUGCUAAUCUGCGAAAAGCGUCGGUAAGGUGAUAUGAACCGUUAUAACCGGCGAUGUCCGAAUGGGGAAACCCAGUGUGAUUCGUCACACUAUCGUUAACUGAAUACAUAGGUUAACGAGGCGAACCGGGGGAACUGAAACAUCUAAGUACCCCGAGGAAAAGAAAUCAACCGAGAUUCCCCCAGUAGCGGCGAGCGAACGGGGAGCAGCCCAGAGUCUGAAUCAGCUUGUGUGUUAGUGGAACGGUCUGGAAAGUCCGACGGUACAGGGUGAUAGUCCCGUACACCAAAAUGCACAGGCUGUGAACUCGAAGAGUAGGGCGGGACACGUGGUAUCCUGUCUGAAUAUGGGGGGACCAUCCUCCAAGGCUAAAUACUCCUGACUGACCGAUAGUGAACCAGUACCGUGAGGGAAAGGCGAAAAGAACCCCGGCGAGGGGAGUGAAAAAGAACCUGAAACCGUGUACGUACAAGCAGUGGGAGCACCUUCGGGUGUGACUGCGUACCUUUUGUAUAAUGGGUCAGCGACUUAUAUUCUGUAGCAAGGUUAACCGUAUAGGGGAGCCGCAGGGAAACCGAGUCUUAACUGGGCGUUAAGUUGCAGGGUAUAGACCCGAAACCCGGUGAUCUAGCCAUGGGCAGGUUGAAGGUUGGGUAACACUAACUGGAGGACCGAACCGACUAAUGUUGAAAAAUUAGCGGAUGACUUGUGGCUGGGGGUGAAAGGCCAAUCAAACCGGGAGAUAGCUGGUUCUCCCCGAAAGCUAUUUAGGUAGCGCCUCGUGAAUUCAUCUUCGGGGGUAGAGCACUGUUUCGGCUAGGGGGUCAUCCCGACUUACCAACCCGAUGCAAACUACGAAUACCGAAGAAUGUUAUCACGGGAGACACACGGCGGGUGCUAACGUCCGUCGUGAAGAGGGGAAACAACCCAGACCGCCAGCUAAGGUCCCAAAGUCAUGGUUAAGUGGGAAACGAUGUGGGAAGGCACAGACAGCCAGGAUGUUGGCUUAGAAGCAGCCAUCAUUUAAAGAAAGCGUAAUAGCUCACUGGUCGAGUCGGCCUGCGCGGAAGAUGUAACGGGGCUAAACCAUGCACCGAAGCUGCGGCAGCGACACUAUGUGUUGUUGGGUAGGGGAGCGUUCUGUAAGCCUGCGAAGGUGACCUGUGAGGGUUGCUGGAGGUAUCAGAAGUGCGAAUGCUGACAUAAGUAACGAUAAAGCGGGUGAAAAGCCCGCUCGCCGGAAGACCAAGGGUUCCUGUCCAACGUUAAUCGGGGCAGGGUGAGUCGACCCCUAAGGCGAGGCCGAAAGGCGUAGUCGAUGGGAAACAGGUUAAUAUUCCUGUACUUGGUGUUACUGCGAAGGGGGGACGGAGAAGGCUAUGUUAGCCGGGCGACGGUUGUCCCGGUUUAAGCAUGUAGGCUGGUUGUCCAGGCAAAUCCGGAUAAUCAAGGCUGAGGUGUGAUGACGAGGCACUACGGUGCUGAAGUAACAAAUGCCCUGCUUCCAGGAAAAGCCUCUAAGCAUCAGGUAACAUCAAAUCGUACCCCAAACCGACACAGGUGGUCAGGUAGAGAAUACCAAGGCGCUUGAGAGAACUCGGGUGAAGGAACUAGGCAAAAUGGUGCCGUAACUUCGGGAGAAGGCACGCUGGUGUGUAGGUGAAGUCCCUGCGGAUGGAGCUGAGACCAGUCGAAGAUACCAGCUGGCUGCAACUGUUUAUUAAAAACACAGCACUGUGCAAACACGAAAGUGGACGUAUACGGUGUGACGCCUGCCCGGUGCCGGAAGGUUAAUUGAUGGGGUUAUCCGUAAGGAGAAGCUCUUGAUCGAAGCCCCGGUAAACGGCGGCCGUAACUAUAACGGUCCUAAGGUAGCGAAAUUCCUUGUCGGGUAAGUUCCGACCUGCACGAAUGGCGUAAUGAUGGCCAGGCUGUCUCCACCCGAGACUCAGUGAAAUUGAACUCGCUGUGAAGAUGCAGUGUACCCGCGGCAAGACGGAAAGACCCCGUGAACCUUUACUAUAGCUUGACACUGAACAUUGAGCCUUGAUGUGUAGGAUAGGUGGGAGGCUUUGAAGCGUGGACGCCAGUCUGCGUGGAGCCAACCUUGAAAUACCACCCUUUAAUGUUUGAUGUUCUAACGUUGGCCCUUACCGGGGUUGCGGACAGUGUCUGGUGGGUAGUUUGACUGGGGCGGUCUCCUCCCAAAGCGUAACGGAGGAGCACGAAGGUUAGCUAAUCCUGGUCGGACAUCAGGAGGUUAGUGCAAUGGCAUAAGCUAGCUUGACUGCGAGCGUGACGGCGCGAGCAGGUGCGAAAGCAGGUCAUAGUGAUCCGGUGGUUCUGAAUGGAAGGGCCAUCGCUCAACGGAUAAAAGGUACUCCGGGGAUAACAGGCUGAUACCGCCCAAGAGUUCAUAUCGACGGCGGUGUUUGGCACCUCGAUGUCGGCUCAUCACAUCCUGGGGCUGAAGUAGGUCCCAAGGGUAUGGCUGUUCGCCAUUUAAAGUGGUACGCGAGCUGGGUUUAGAACGUCGUGAGACAGUUCGGUCCCUAUCUGCCGUGGGCGCUGGAGAAUUGAGGGGGGCUGCUCCUAGUACGAGAGGACCGGAGUGGACGCAUCACUGGUGUUCGGGUUGUCAUGCCAAUGGCACUGCCCGGUAGCUAAAUGCGGAAGAGAUAAGUGCUGAAAGCAUCUAAGCACGAAACUUGCCCCGAGAUGAGUUCUCCCUGAGACUUUAAGUCUCCUGAAGGAACGUUAAAGACGAUGACGUUGAUAGGCCGGGUGUGUAAGCGCAGCGAUGCGUUGAGCUAACCGGUACUAAUGAACCGUGAGGCUUAACCUUACAACGCCGAAG